AGUAGGAUAAGUUAAUAUAAACUGUUGGACUCAUGAUCCAAUUAUGUGGGUGGAAAGCCCACUUCUACCU
RNAcentral lists this transfer RNA (70 nucleotides) under Amphiura digitula. RNAcentral's name for it is "tRNA-Met". It matches the Rfam family "tRNA". Rfam says of the family: Transfer RNA (tRNA) molecules are approximately 80 nucleotides in length. Their secondary structure includes four short double-helical elements and three loops (D, anti-codon, and T loops). Lineage: Eukaryota; Metazoa; Echinodermata; Ophiuroidea; Amphilepidida; Amphiuridae. The record is from RNAcentral.